GAUGAACGCUGGCGGCGUGCCUAAUACAUGCAAGUCGAGCGAACAGACGAGGAGCUUGCUCCUCUGACGUUAGCGGCGGACGGGUGAGUAACACGUGGAUAACCUACCUAUAAGACUGGGAUAACUUCGGGAAACCGGAGCUAAUACCGGAUAAUAUAUUGAACCGCAUGGUUCAAUAGUGAAAGACGGUUUUGCUGUCACUUAUAGAUGGAUCCGCGCCGCAUUAGCUAGUUGGUAAGGUAACGGCUUACCAAGGCAACGAUGCGUAGCCGACCUGAGAGGGUGAUCGGCCACACUGGAACUGAGACACGGUCCAGACUCCUACGGGAGGCAGCAGUAGGGAAUGUUACGCAAUGGGCGAAAGCCUGACGGAGCAACGCCGCGUGAGUGAUGAAGGUCUUCGGAUCGUAAAACUCUGUUAUUAGGGAAGAACAAAUGUGUAAGUAACUAUGCACGUCUUGACGGUACCUAAUCAGAAAGCCACGGCUAACUACGUG
RNAcentral lists this ribosomal RNA (497 nucleotides) under uncultured bacterium. RNAcentral's name for it is "partial 16S ribosomal RNA". It matches the Rfam family "Bacterial small subunit ribosomal RNA", at positions 28 to 507 of the family's 1533-position model. The record is from RNAcentral.